GUUUUAAUAGUUUAAUAAAAACAUUGGUUUUGUAAACCAAAUAUAAAAUAUUUAUUUUUUAAAAUA
Molecule: transfer RNA, 66 nt
Filed under: Dilophus febrilis
Lineage: Eukaryota; Metazoa; Arthropoda; Insecta; Diptera; Bibionidae
Description: tRNA-Thr
Source: RNAcentral